CCUACGGGAGGCAGCAGUAAGGAAUAUUGGUCAAUGGACGCAAGUCUGAACCAGCCAUGCCGCGUGAAGGAUGAAGGUCCUCUGGAUUGUAAACUUCUUUUAUAGGGGACGAAACCCGGGAAUUCUUUCCCGAUUGACGGUACCCUAGGAAUAAGCACCGGCUAACUCCGUGCCAGCAGCCGCGGUAAUACGGAGGGUGCAAGCGUUAUCCGGAUUCACUGGGUUUAAAGGGUGCGUAGGAGGGCAGGUAAGUCAGUGGUGAAAUCUGUGGGCUUAACCCACAAACUGCCGUUGAUACUAUCUGUCUUGAAUAUUGUGGAGGUGAGCGGAAUAUGUCAUGUAGCGGUGAAAUGCUUAGAUAUGACAUAGAACACCAAUUGCGAAGGCAGCUCGCUACACAUAUAUUGACUCUGAGGCACGAAAGCGUGGGGAUCAAACAG
RNAcentral lists this ribosomal RNA (440 nucleotides) under uncultured bacterium. RNAcentral's name for it is "bacterial SSU rRNA". It matches the Rfam family "Bacterial small subunit ribosomal RNA", at positions 338 to 775 of the family's 1533-position model. The record is from RNAcentral.